This 447-nucleotide ribosomal RNA is filed under the name uncultured bacterium. Its description in RNAcentral is "bacterial SSU rRNA". It matches the Rfam family "Bacterial small subunit ribosomal RNA", at positions 331 to 798 of the family's 1533-position model. The record is from RNAcentral.
CCAGACUCCUACGGGAGGCAGCAGUAGGGAAUAUUGCUCAAUGGGGGAAACCCUGAAGCAGCAACGCCGCGUGGAGGAUGAAGGUUUUCGGAUUGUAAACUCCUUUUGUUAGAGAAGAUAAUGACGGUAUCUAACGAAUAAGCCACGGCUAACUACGUGCCAGCAGCCGCGGUAAUACGUAGGUGGCAAGCGUUGUCCGGAUUUACUGGGUGUAAAGGGCGUGCAGCCGGGCCGACAAGUCAGAUGUGAAAUCCGCGGGCUUAACCCGCGAACUGCAUUUGAAACUAUUGGUCUUGAGUACCGGAGAGGUCAUCGGAAUUCCUUGUGUAGCGGUGAAAUGCGUAGAUAUAAGGAAGAACACCAGUGGCGAAGGCGGAUGACUGGACGGCAACUGACGGUGAGGCGCGAAAGCGUGGGGAGCAAACAGGAUUAGAUACCCGCGUACAC